Molecule: non-coding RNA, 45 nt
Filed under: Trichobilharzia regenti
Lineage: Eukaryota; Metazoa; Platyhelminthes; Trematoda; Strigeidida; Schistosomatidae
Source: RNAcentral
GCCCAGUUGAUGAGUCCCAAAUAGGACGAAAUGUGCAUCCUGGAU